This is a long non-coding RNA of Anastrepha obliqua, 673 nucleotides long. RefSeq lists it as uncharacterized. The record is from RefSeq and is a predicted model, not a curated record. The transcript has 3 exons. Lineage: Eukaryota; Metazoa; Arthropoda; Insecta; Diptera; Tephritidae.
UUGGCACAAAAAAAGAAAAACUGCACAAAGUGCAGUAAAUAAAACAAAGCGUGAUGAAUCAUUUAAUCGGCAGCAAAAAAAGAUAAAUAAAAUACAUGAAAAUAUUGCAAUGCAGAAGCGCCGCCAGAGCAAAGUCUAUUGAAUUCAAGCCGCAAUGAAAUCGCAGCAAGCUAAUUUAUGGGCAGACACAAAUGUGAAUGCAAACACAUUUGAAUUAUUAAAUGGGAAGUGGCCGCUGCAGACAAUAACCUUCCAGACACAAAGCGUAGAAAAACAAAAUUUUCAAUUGGUGGUUGCCUCACUGGCUGGAAAUCUUGCUGGCUGGUUGGUGUGUAUCUCGACUUGCAACGAGCGCCGCAUACACAGAAUUCGUUGCGGGCUGCACUCGUUUGCUCGACUUCUUCUAUAUACUACAAGUGUGUAGACCACUAAGUUGCUGCUUGCUGCCUUUUGCACUCUAUCUGCCUUGCUAUGUUUUGCGCUUAUUUUUUUCACUCACUUUCUCGUAGUGUGCCACACACACAAAAACUUAUACACACACACACGGAUGUACACUCUUUAACUGUAUAUUUCUAUAUAUAUAACGAGGGCAACAACAUUGCAACGUUUUAUAUGGUCAUUCAACCGGAAGGAUGCUGCAACUCAGCUUUUAUUACGUAUACGCACCCGCCUC